GUACCCGCUUUGGCAGCACAUAUACUAAAAUUUGGAGCGAUAUAGAGAAGAAUUAGCAUGGCCCCUGUGCAAGGAUGACAUGCAAAUUUGUGAAGUGUUCCAUAUUUUU
This 109-nucleotide small nuclear RNA is filed under the name Tupaia belangeri (northern tree shrew). Lineage: Eukaryota; Metazoa; Chordata; Mammalia; Scandentia; Tupaiidae. The record is from RNAcentral.